This is a non-coding RNA of Equus caballus (horse), 2689 nucleotides long. NCBI's taxonomy places the organism in Eukaryota, Metazoa, Chordata, Mammalia, Perissodactyla, Equidae. The record is from RefSeq and is a predicted model, not a curated record.
GCGCGGCACAGCGCAGCUCCCGGCCCUCGCGCGGCGGUUGUGGGGCGGCCUGGCGCGGCUCCCUCCUGCGCCCCAGGGCCGGACGCCCGCUGCAGCCAUCGCCCUGCGAGGAGGCAUUAUUAUCCCCGUUUUAUUGAUAAAGAAGCCGACGCCAGGAGGAUAAGUGACUCGCCCUGGGGCAAACCACUGGACAGGAGACGCCAGUCCGGGGGCCCGAAGCCCUCGCGCUUCCCCCUGGCUCCCGGCUCCCCCAUCCUUCACGCGCGCGUCUGGGAAACUCGCGCGGCGGAGUGGAACCAGCCUUUCGAAGUGGAAGCGGCUCUGGCUCGCAGCUUCUCCCCUGGCGGCGCUUUCUCUCUGCGCAGCGCAGACACGGGCGCCCUCGCCUGCCCCGCGCUCCUCGUCGUUCGCGGUGGAUGAGGUCGCCUGCAGAUCCGGCCGCGCCCGGGCACUGCCCAGGUGGAGGGGCGGAGAGGCCUCGGCUCUGUUUUCGUCUGGGCGUCAGGAAAUGGAGGAAGGAGCAAGGACCACUGCUCCUGUGACAGCUACACCAACAGCAUCUACACCAUCUCCAUCAGCAGCACAGCCGAAAGCGGAAAGAAGCCUUGGUACCUGGAAGAGUGUUCGUCCACACUGGCCACAACCUACAGCAGUGGAGAGUCCUACGACAAGAAAAUAAUCACUAUGGACCUGAGGCAGCGCUGCACGGACAACCACACUGGGACGUCGGCCUCAGCCCCCAUGGCUGCGGGCAUCAUUGCACUGGCCCUGGAAGCCAAGUAAGCCUCUCUCUCCGUAUGUCUCUCCACUGGCGACCACCCCUCACCCCGAGGACAGUGUACCCUCUCCCUGGUAUAUAACCCGUAGCACAACAACCCAGAUGAUAAUCUUCCCAGUCCCACCUUUAAAACUUCAUAGAUUAGGGCUUUAAAGAGAAUUUUUCCUUAUAUUAAGGAGAAAAGCAAUUUUUUUUGGUUUUUAUAUCCUUAAAAAAACCCAACUGUGUAAUUACUUUAUUGUGGAGUCAUAGUGCAUGCUGCCAAUUGGCUCCAACACUCUUGCCUUGUUGAGGUUUUAUUCUAGUCUAGGAAUGUUCCUGUGAGUCUCAGAGCGGUUAGGUCUGCCCAUUUCGGGGCCCUUUCCCUACAGAACAGCGAGGCAACUCAGAUUCCAUGACAACAGCACCCGUCACAGACUCGCCCUGGGGGGCAGAAUGUGGCAAGAUCAUAUGACAGAAGCCCAGGAACAAGGCCAACCCACUUACCUUAAAUCCUAUUUAACAUAGUAAAUUCUGCGUCUGAAAGAUCCCUUUGAAAGCCCCCUUAGGUUAUUUGCAAUAGAUCCUGUCUCUUCUUUCUCUCAGCACCAGUAGACUUUGUUUUCUUAACAAGCAUAAAUUUGCCCUAAAUACAGGUCUAUACUCUCUUACCCUGAAUUUCAAAAUCCCAAAUGCCCAGAAAACUGAAAGUUCUUUUGCAAAUUUGACCCCAAAACUCAUUUGAUGGCAAAGCUUGCCCUGAACUGAUUUGAGGCUAUUUACUGUCUUUCUUUAUUGUAAAAAUUCAUACAUUUCACUGCAGAAAUAUUAAUGUAUCUGACCAUAAGGUGCUGGCUCAAAUCGCACUAGAAGUUUGUGUAAUAUAUGCUCUGGACACCAUAUCUGAAACAAUUUUGAAUUCCAAACACAUCUGGUCCAAGGUUCUAGAAAAGGGCCUGCGGUCCUGCGCUCUGAGGCCCUCCUACAAGAGGAUUGUAACAGAAAGGAACUGGAGUGAUGAUGUAAGUGUCUUUCCAAAAAUAGCCUUGCUGCCCUGCUCUGGGGAGGAGCGGAAGGAGUCUUUCAUCUAGUUGUGCCCUGAUGUAGAGCGAUAGCAGGUGACAGGAGAAGAAUGCAAGCAUCAUAUUGAGACCCAGGUAUGUCUGUAGGACGAUAGCGCCUCAUCCUCAGGACACAAGUGUGUCCCACCGUCUACAGCUGCCCCUCUUUAAGGCAGAGAGUCUGAUAAGUCAGGUGGGCCUUAAUGUAACGUGGAUCCAGUCAACUGCUCAGCCAUGUAAAGCCCUGGACUGAGGCAGGCAGGACACAGGCUCUGGAUAUGGGCUCUCUCUGUGUGUUCGGGCCACUAUAACAAAAUACCAUAAACUGAGUAGCUGAUAAACAACAAACGUCUAUUUCUCACUGUUCUGGAGAAUGGGAAGUCCAAGGUCAAGGUGCUGGCGGAUUUGGUGUCUGGUGAAGGCCCACUUCCUAGAGGGCGCACGCAGUAGACAAAGGGGCAAGGCAGCUCUCUGGGGUCUCUUAUAACAGCACUGAUCCCAUUGAUGGGGCUCCACCCUCGUGACCUAAGCACCUCCCACAGGCCCCACCUCCUAAUACCAUCACAUUGUUGCGUUUGGUUUCAGCAUAGGAGUUUUGUGGGGAUGGAAAUGAUCAGACCGUAGUAGGUGCCAUAUCUUUUGUGGCCUCCUGCCUAAGCAUUGACAUUGAGCGAUAUCCAAGUUCCCAUGAAUGUUUGUGUUUCUUUCUUUUUUAACGUGAUUAAAUAUUAAAUCAUUUCAAUAUAUGGUAUCUUUUAAGGUGUUAAAAGUUUGGGUUUAGGGGCUGGCCCCGUGGCCGAGUGGUUAAGUUCGCGCACUCCACUGCAGGCGGCCCAGUGUUUCGUUGGUUCGAGUCCUGGGCGCGGACACG